AUUGAACGCUGGCCGCAGGCCUAACACAUGCAAGUCGAACGGUAACAGGAAGAAGCUUGCUUCUUUGCUGACGAGUGGCGGACGGGUGAGUAAUGUCUGGGAAACUGCCUGAUGGAGGGGGAUAACUACUGGAAACGGUAGCUAAUACCGCAUAACGUCGCAAGACCAAAGAGGGGGACCUUCGGGCCUCUUGCCAUCGGAUGUGCCCAGAUGGGAUUAGCUAGUAGGUGGGGUAACGGCUCACCUAGGCGACGAUCCCUAGCUGGUCUGAGAGGAUGACCAGCCACACUGGAACUGAGACACGGUCCAGACUCCUACGGGAGGCAGCAGUGGGGAAUAUUGCACAAUGGGCGCAAGCCUGAUGCAGCCAUGCCGCGUGUAUGAAGAAGGCCUUCGGGUUGUAAAGUACUUUCAGCGGGGAGGAAGGGAGUAAAGUUAAUACCUUUGCUCAUUGACGUUACCCGCAGAAGAAGCACCGGCUAACUCCGUG
This 490-nucleotide ribosomal RNA is filed under the name uncultured bacterium. RNAcentral describes it as "partial 16S ribosomal RNA". It matches the Rfam family "Bacterial small subunit ribosomal RNA", at positions 30 to 507 of the family's 1533-position model. The record is from RNAcentral.